This 776-nucleotide ribosomal RNA is filed under the name Salmonella enterica subsp. enterica serovar Saintpaul. Its description in RNAcentral is "bacterial LSU rRNA". It matches the Rfam family "Bacterial large subunit ribosomal RNA", at positions 690 to 1378 of the family's 2925-position model. RNAcentral also lists the same sequence under 1 other name. The record is from RNAcentral. Lineage: Bacteria; Pseudomonadati; Pseudomonadota; Gammaproteobacteria; Enterobacterales; Enterobacteriaceae.
GGGCGUUAAGUUGCAGGGUAUAGACCCGAAACCCGGUGAUCUAGCCAUGGGCAGGUUGAAGGUUGGGUAACACUAACUGGAGGACCGAACCGACUAAUGUUGAAAAAUUAGCGGAUGACCUGUGGCUGGGGGUGAAAGGCCAAUCAAACCGGGAGAUAGCUGGUUCUCCCCGAAAGCUAUUUAGGUAGCGCCUCGUGAAUUCAUCUCCGGGGGUAGAGCACUGUUUCGGCUAGGGGGCCAUCCCGGCUUACCAACCCGAUGCAAACUGCGAAUACCGGAGAAUGUUAUCACGGGAGACACACGGCGGGUGCUAACGUCCGUCGUGAAGAGGGAAACAACCCAGACCGCCAGCUAAGGUCCCAAAGUCAUGGUUAAGUGGGAAACGAUGUGGGAAGGCCCAGACAGCCAGGAUGUUGGCUUAGAAGCAGCCAUCAUUUAAAGAAAGCGUAAUAGCUCACUGGUCGAGUCGGCCUGCGCGGAAGAUGUAACGGGGCUAAACCAUGCACCGAAGCUGCGGCAGCGAACGUAUCACCCAAGACAACUUUACGGAGUUGACGAUUGACGGAGCGAAGCGACGUCAAAGCGUUCAUUAAAGUCGAGUUGGCUUAGGGAUACGUUCGUUGGGUAGGGGAGCGUUCUGUAAGCCUGUGAAGGUGGCCUGUGAGGGUUGCUGGAGGUAUCAGAAGUGCGAAUGCUGACAUAAGUAACGAUAAAGCGGGUGAAAAGCCCGCUCGCCGGAAGACCAAGGGUUCCUGUCCAACGUUAAUCGGGGCAGG